GUCAGUGUGGUGUAGAGGUUUGAAUGUUGGACUAUGACUCUGAGGACCAGGGUUCGAUUUCCCACUUGGCCA
This is a non-coding RNA of Phrynosoma platyrhinos (Desert horned lizard), 72 nucleotides long. The record is from the annotation of a GenBank genome assembly. NCBI's taxonomy places the organism in Eukaryota, Metazoa, Chordata, Lepidosauria, Squamata, Phrynosomatidae.